Molecule: ribosomal RNA, 336 nt
Filed under: Anisolabis maritima
Lineage: Eukaryota; Metazoa; Arthropoda; Insecta; Dermaptera; Anisolabididae
Description: partial 16S ribosomal RNA
Source: RNAcentral
GGUAUCUUAUUUAAAUUUUUUAAAAAAGUUUAUUAAUUCGUUUAUCUCCGGUAUUUUGUAGAAAUAUUUUAUAAUUUCUUAUUGCCCCAAUAAAACAAUUAUUACUCAUAUUGUAAAGAUCUAUAGGGUCUUAUCGUCUUAAAAAUAAAUUAAUGCAUUUUUACAUUAAAUUAAAAUUCUAAAAGUUACAAAGAUACAGUUUGUUUUCCAUUCAAUCAUUCAUUCAAGUCUUCAAUUAAAAGACUAUUUAUUAUGCUACCUUUGCACGGUCAGGUUACCGCGGCCCUUAAAAUUUCAGGGGGCAGAUUAUAUUUUUAAUACUUAAAGCUAAAAAAA